GCUAAAUACUCCUGACUGACCGAUAGUGAACCAGUACCGUGAGGGAAAGGCGAAAAGAACCCCGGCGAGGGGAGUGAAAAAGAACCUGAAACCGUGUACGUACAAGCAGUGGGAGCACAGAGCAAUCUGUGUGACUGCGUACCUUUUGUAUAAUGGGUCAGCGACUUAUAUUCUGUAGCAAGGUUAACCGAAUAGGGGAGCCGAAGGGAAACCGAGUCUUAACUGGGCGUUAAGUUGCAGGGUAUA
RNAcentral lists this ribosomal RNA (246 nucleotides) under Escherichia coli. Its description in RNAcentral is "partial 23S ribosomal RNA". It matches the Rfam family "Bacterial large subunit ribosomal RNA", at positions 465 to 711 of the family's 2925-position model. Lineage: Bacteria; Pseudomonadati; Pseudomonadota; Gammaproteobacteria; Enterobacterales; Enterobacteriaceae. The record is from RNAcentral.